RNAcentral lists this ribosomal RNA (228 nucleotides) under uncultured bacterium. Its description in RNAcentral is "partial 16S ribosomal RNA". It matches the Rfam family "Bacterial small subunit ribosomal RNA", at positions 568 to 795 of the family's 1533-position model. The record is from RNAcentral.
UCCGUAGGCGGGCUAAUAAGUCAGAGGUGAAAUCCCACAGCUCAACUGUGGAACUGCCUUUGAUACUGGUUGUCUUGAGUUAUAGUGAAGUAGAUAGAAUAUGUAGUGUAGCGGUGAAAUGCAUAGAUAUUACAUAGAAUACCGAUUGCGAAGGCAGUCUACUAACUGUACACUGACGCUAAUGGACGAAAGCGUGGGGAGCGAACAGGAUUAGAUACCCUGGUAGUC